This 449-nucleotide ribosomal RNA is filed under the name uncultured bacterium. Its description in RNAcentral is "partial 16S ribosomal RNA". It matches the Rfam family "Bacterial small subunit ribosomal RNA", at positions 29 to 523 of the family's 1533-position model. The record is from RNAcentral.
AACGAACGCUGGCGGCAGGCCUAACACAUGCGAGUCGAACGAAGUCUUCGGACUUAGUGGCGGACGGGUGAGUAACACGUGGGAACGUGCCUUUAGGUUCGGAAUAACUCAGGGAAACUUGUGCUAAUACCGAAUGUGCCCUUCGGGGGAAAGAUUUAUCGCCUUUAGAGCGGCCCGCGUCUGAUUAGCUAGUUGGUGAGGUAACGGCUCACCAAGGCGACGAUCAGUAGCUGGUCUGAGAGGAUGGCCAGCCACACUGGGACUGAGACACGGCCCAGACUCCUACGGGAGGCAGCAGUGGGGAAUCUUGCGCAAUGGGCGAAAGCCUGACGCAGCCAUGCCGCGUGAAUGAUGAAGGUCUUAGGAUUGUAAAAUUCUUUCACCGGGGACGAUAAUGACGGUACCCGGAGAAGAAGCCCCGGCUAACUUCGUGCCAGCCGCCGCAGUAA